AAAACACUUGGUUUCUAUUAUGGUUUAAUUGCUUUCAUGGAGAUUGAGUUUGAAUACCUUGGCUCCAAUGUAGAAGCAGGAUGAACAGAAUAAUGCUCCUUAUCAUGUCAUGUUGAGGCUGGAUCAGUCAAAUCAUGAUCUGUGAUGAAAAACAUUUUAGUUGGCAGUACAGGACAUCAUUAUCAUGCCUGAGCAAAAUUGUACACAGACACAAAUUAUUAGUCAAGUCACCUUUAUUUAUAUGUAACGGGGCGUGUUUUAGAACUACAAAUCCCAUUAGCCUCAGUUCUAUAAAAGGAAGUAAGGAGAUUUGUUCGUUCACUUCCGCCUUUGUUCCGUUGAAGAUUUAUGAAUGAAAGUCGCGGCAGAUCUAAGGUAUGCCGUUAUACAUGUUAGAUAAGUAUGUCUUGCACACGUAGAUGUUAAAUAAUGCGCUGCCCCUCUGUGUGUUGUACGUCUUCCUGGUCAUUGAAAUUGAAGUCGCAGCUUGUCUGUGUUGCAUGGUGGCAAUCGACCAAAUGUGUAAGGAUCGUUGGUGCUGUCAUGCAUCAAAUAUUGGAACGUUGUUGAGUGCUGAACAUAUGAUGCAUCAUUUAGGAGUAUUUUGGCUGGAUGGUUGCCUGAGUGUCAUAAACCAAAAUAACGGAUGGUAGAGGUAUUAUUUUUAUUUUUUUAAAGGGAGUUUUAAAUGUGUUUUAAUGAUUUUAAUAUUUUUCUUGAAUGUUUUAUUUCUUUUAAAAAUGUUUUGGGUAUGUCAUUUCCUUUUGUAUUCUAUAAAUAUCUUUUUAGUAAUUGGUUGUUUUCCCUUACAGGGAUGCACGAUUACCGUUUAUUUUUAGGGUGAAUUAUUAAGAUUGUUUGUGUUCUUUUUUUUUUUUUUUUGGUUGGAUGUUGGACCGGAGUGGGCUAAGGGAGAACUGAGGUCACACUAAAGACAAAAAAAGGGAUGAAGUAGAACAUUGUUAUUUUACAGUGUUGCCUUAUUUGUCCUAUUUGCAUUACCCACUGUUAAUACUGUUGUUUGUUGUGUUUCUUUGUUUUAGAUUUCUUUUGACCUGACGGUGGCUGCGGGGUUGCCUUCACUGGUGGAUAGCAGAGGUGUGGUGGUUUGGUCACUUUAUUUUUUCUUCCCUUUAGGCUUGCAGUGUGAUUGCCGUGAGCUUGAUUGCAGUGGGAGCACGGUUGCCAUUUCCGUUUUUUUUUUUCACAGUCUAGGUAACCUGUGGCCAUCUGUAGGUCUUGUUUCUUUAUUUUUUAUUGUUUUUGUUUACAUUUUUCCUUUGUGGGUAAUUGCAUUGAAGGUCUGCUAUAUCUGUUUAACAUGUUCAUGUUUGUUUUCUUUGUAAUUGUUUUCCUUUGAAUAAAAUGUUUGUUUAUUGAAACUUCACUACUGCCUUCUGCCUGCUCAUUUCCCUCGUUUGGGUCAUGAUGUCAUAUAUAUAUAUAUAUAUAUAUAUAUAUAUAUAUAUUAGUGCUUUAAACAAAAAAGAUUGCUUCAAAGCAACUGAACAACAUUUAUUAGGAAAACAGUCGGUGCGUCCGAAAUUGCAUGCUGCGUACUGGGUACUACAUUUGAAUUUGAACGUACUACUUGACUGUUAGAAAAGGAUGUUCUAUAUAAUAUGAAUGUGGGAAGUAUGAAUGAAAUUCGGACAUACUGCAUCUGCCAUGUUGACAUUGUCACUUGACAUACGUCGUCACAACAGCGUAAAAAUGUAAAGUGCCCACUGUACAGAGUGAACCUCAGCGACGUUUUUCGUUAUUCAUACCGCUUUCGUCUGCUUUUUUUUUUUUUUUUUUUUUUUUUUUUUUUUUUUUGACUGAAUUAACAGUCAGCUGCUCACAGAUCACGCCUUUUGUUGGCGGCUUGUAAAUCCUUUACUAAAUAUACAUUUAGCUUGUAAUUUUUUUUUUACCUCAGAAUAACGGUAGCUACAGCUGUUAACCG
Carassius auratus (goldfish) is the source of this 1948-nucleotide long non-coding RNA. Lineage: Eukaryota; Metazoa; Chordata; Actinopteri; Cypriniformes; Cyprinidae. The record is from Ensembl.